Molecule: long non-coding RNA, 203 nt
Filed under: Mytilus galloprovincialis (Mediterranean mussel)
Lineage: Eukaryota; Metazoa; Mollusca; Bivalvia; Mytilida; Mytilidae
Source: RNAcentral
GGGUUCCAACUGUAUAUCCUCAUUCAAAAGCAUUGAUUACCCCAAAAAGGCCCUCGCUCUAAGUUUCAUAGUAUAUACCUUUCUAUACACUAACCGACACGUAUACUUAUAUAUGACUGUUUAUCAUAUCGUGAUAAGGGAAUGAGCUUUCAAUCAUAAAGUUUUGAAUGCCUUAUAGAAUUCCGACAAGAAUUUAUAAAUUG